RNAcentral lists this ribosomal RNA (437 nucleotides) under uncultured bacterium. Its description in RNAcentral is "partial 16S ribosomal RNA". It matches the Rfam family "Bacterial small subunit ribosomal RNA", at positions 29 to 507 of the family's 1533-position model. The record is from RNAcentral.
AGCGAACGCUGGCGGCAGGCUUAACACAUGCAAGUCGAGCGGGCACCUUUCGGGGUGUCAGCGGCGGACGGGUGAGUAACGCGUGGGAACGUGCCCUCUGGUUCGGAAUAACUCAGGGAAACUUAAGCUAAUACCGGAUACGCCCUUUUGGGGAAAGGCUUGCUGCCGGAGGAUCGGCCCGCGUCUGAUUAGCUAGUUGGUGAGGUAACGGCUCACCAAGGCGACGAUCAGUAGCUGGUCUGAGAGGAUGAUCAGCCACACUGGGACUGAGACACGGCCCAGACUCCUACGGGAGGCAGCAGUGGGGAAUAUUGGACAAUGGGCGCAAGCCUGAUCCAGCCAUGCCGCGUGAGUGAUGAAGGCCUUAGGGUUGUAAAGCUCUUUUAUCCGGGACGAUAAUGACGGUACCGGAGGAAUAAGCCCCGGCUAACUUCGUG